Clostridium sp. CAG:813 is the source of this 71-nucleotide non-coding RNA. Lineage: Bacteria; Bacillati; Bacillota; Clostridia; Eubacteriales; Clostridiaceae. The record is from Rfam.
UCCCAGAUCGUCUAGUGGCAGGACGAAAGAUUCUGGCUCUUUUAACGAUGGUUCGAAUCCAUCUCUGGGAG